Molecule: ribosomal RNA, 460 nt
Filed under: uncultured bacterium
Lineage: Bacteria
Description: partial 16S ribosomal RNA
Rfam family: Bacterial small subunit ribosomal RNA
Source: RNAcentral
CCUACGGUGUGCAGCAGUGAGGAAUAUUGGUCAAUGGGCGCGAGCCUGAACCAGCCAAGUCGCGUGAGGGAGGACGGCCCUACGGGUUGUAAACCUCUUUUGCCGGGGAGCAACGGGCGUCACGUGUGGCGCCACUGAGAGUACCCGGAGAAAAAGCAUCGGCUAACGCCGUGCCAGCAGCCGCGGUAAUACGGAGGAUGCGAGCGUUAUCCGGAUUUAUUGGGUUUAAAGGGUGCGUAGGCGGAUCGUUAAGUCAGUGGUCAAAUUGAGGGGCUCAACCCCUUCCCGCCAUUGAAACUGGCGCUCUUGAGUGGAAGAGAAGUAUGCGGAAUGCGUGGUGUAGCGGUGAAAUGCUUAGAUAUCACGCAGAACCCCGAUUGCGAAGGCAGCCUGCCAAGCCAUGACUGACGCUGAUGCACGAAAGCGUGGGGAUCAAACAGGAUUAGAUACCCUAGUAGUC